UCUAAUGUGGCAGAAUAGUGCAAUGAAUUUAAGCUUCAUAUAUAAAGUAUUAAACUUUUAUUAGAA
Molecule: transfer RNA, 66 nt
Filed under: Trupanea amoena
Lineage: Eukaryota; Metazoa; Arthropoda; Insecta; Diptera; Tephritidae
Description: tRNA-Leu
Source: RNAcentral